RNAcentral lists this unclassified non-coding RNA (647 nucleotides) under uncultured Prochlorococcus sp. RNAcentral's name for it is "partial 16S-23S ribosomal RNA intergenic spacer; may also contain 16S ribosomal RNA and 23S ribosomal RNA". The stretch from base 305 to 377 matches the Rfam family "tRNA". Lineage: Bacteria; Bacillati; Cyanobacteriota; Cyanophyceae; Synechococcales; Prochlorococcaceae. The record is from RNAcentral.
UUGUGGAGGAGGACGCCGAAGGUGGGGCUAAUGACUGGGGUGAAGUCGUAACAAGGUAGCCGUACCGGAAGGUGCGGCUGGAUCACCUCCUAACAGGGAGACAACAAAAUGUUUAAUAUUAUUAUUUUGUCACCUUAGGUCGAUCGGUAUCUCACGUUCUUAAUUAAUUAAGGAUUUCAAUUUCUAAGUUUUUCUAGGUCACACCCAUUAUUUUUCCUGGGCCAUUAGCUCAGGUGGUUAGAGCGCACCCCUGAUAAGGGUGAGGUCCCUGGUUCAAGUCCAGGAUGGCCCAUAUCUCUAUGUUGGGGGUAUAGCUCAGUUGGUAGAGCGCCUGCUUUGCAAGCAGGAUGUCAGCGGUUCGAGUCCGCUUACCUCCACUGAUUACCACCUCUUCCAUAAUUUGUAUAAGGGAAAUGUUUUGAGUUGUGAUCAAAUCCUGAACGAAUCCAGCUUCCUAAUGAAAGCAUUAAGAUGCUGGACUCAUUGAAUUAAUUUCAUUGUUUUCAGAGAACCUUGACAACUGCAUAGAUUAUUUUUUAAAGACAAUAAGCAUCUUUAAUGAUGCAGAUUUAUUAUUUGUGCGAAUGCAUUAAUAACAAUUCUAUUAAGCUGAUGCUUCAAUUUUGAAGUUAUUGGUCAAGCUACAA